This 909-nucleotide ribosomal RNA is filed under the name Triticum aestivum (bread wheat). RNAcentral's name for it is "partial small subunit ribosomal RNA". The record is from RNAcentral. Lineage: Eukaryota; Viridiplantae; Streptophyta; Magnoliopsida; Poales; Poaceae.
AUGCAUUUGGAAUAUAUUGAACUAUGUUUUCUGUCUAUAAGCGCUAGUAUAAAAUUUUAUGUCCAGUUAAUAGAUUUUUGUGAAGUACUGAACUCCAAAGUAAGUCAGGUCAUAUGGCAUGCAGUGCUAUCUGAAGAUUGCGACAAGAAGGCUGUGACGGAGGGGAUAAAUCAUGGGGCGUGUGACUAUUUGGUGAAGCCAGUGCAUACCAACGAGCUAAAAAACAUAUGGCAGCAUGUUGAAAGAAAGAGAAAAUCAGAAGCAAUAAGGCACAUUAGCGGUGAUGAUGAUGACGAUCAGAGAGCACAGCUUGGGACUGCUGGCAAGAGCAAUGAUGGAGCUAAUACUGAUGAGAACAAAGAGAACACACAGGCAUCCACUACCCAGAAGAAGCCAAAAGUGGGAUGGACAAUUGAGCUGCAUACAAAGUUUAUGGAAGCUAUCAACCAGAUCGGCCUUUAUAGGGCUACUCCAAAAAAGAUUCUGGAGAUGAUGAAUGUCGAUUUCCUCACUAGAAAAAAUGUAUCGAGUCAUCUACAGAAGUAUAAAUUGUACUUGAAAAGAGUCAACCCAAACCCACUUGGUGAUGCAUGUGUAAGAUGGAACUCUUUCAUGAACAUUCAGGGGAGUUUUAUGCAUAACCAUGAACCUGAAAGGUGGGGUGUGUCCUCAGGUGGCAUCGCCUCCUGGAGUCCCAACCAUUACGGUGAAGCGGGUCACUUAGGUCAACAUACGAACACCCAGAGCAGUAUGUCCAUGGGUUCAUUAGUUCCACAGACACCCUAUAUGGGAAGAUUUUCUGGCUUCAAUGAGCACAUAGUUCCAUCCAUCAUAGCCGGCAACCCAAGCUCUAUAUUGAUGUUGAAUGCAACCGAUAGUGUUCCAAUGGCACCACCUCAGUUCGUUUAG